RNA transcript from Sorghum bicolor (sorghum), 6758 nucleotides. RefSeq lists it as uncharacterized. The record is from RefSeq and is a predicted model, not a curated record. NCBI's taxonomy places the organism in Eukaryota, Viridiplantae, Streptophyta, Magnoliopsida, Poales, Poaceae. The transcript has 5 exons.
AAGCGGCAGCCACCGCUCGCUGGCCUCGGGAGUCGGGAGCACGGCGGCUUUUCGCUCCGGGCCCCCUCGGGUAAAAUGUCAUUUCCGAAGCCUGCUGCUGCCCGGCUUUCACCUCCGUCCCUCCCCUUCUCCACAGUCCACACUUCACUCCGCCCGCUGCCCCUGCCCGGCUCAUCUCCGUCCCUUCUCCACAAUCCACGCCGCAGUUCACUCCACCCGCUGCCCCAGCUCAUCCUCUUCCACGCCCGCCGCGCCAUGCUACCUCCCGCCGCACGCCGCUGAGGGCCUGUCCGUGUUCUCGCAUUGGGGAAAAGGCAGCAGGCCGGACACAGCGCGGUGGGAUUCCGCGUCCCGCCGCGACCGCUCUCACCAGGAUGGCGGCGGAGCUCACGAGCGCCACCACCAUCGACUCCCUCCCUGUUGAGAUGCUCACCGAGGUCCUGCUCCGCGUCUCGACGCCGGCCGACCUCGUCCACGCCGCGGCCGCCUCGAGGAGCUGGCGCGGCGCCAUCGCCACCCCCUCGUUCCUCGCCCGCUACCGCAAGCGCCACAAGUCCUCGACCUUCCUGGGCCUCUACGUCCCGCGCCAGUUCGCCGGCCCCCCCUCGUUCCUCAUGCCGGAUUCGAUCCGCUUGGGCGACGACGACGCCGGCAACAUCAAGAGUGCCGCACUCAGGGCCUUCGACUUCGGAGAGAUCCGCAGGUAUCAGGAUCAUCGCCUCCACGACGCCGUAGACGAUGCCGAAUUCAUCCUCGGCCGUCUUGGGGUGCAUCCGGAUUGCCGCCUCCUCGACUGCCACAACAGCCGCCUCCUGCUCACCAGAGGCGACGAGGCUCUGGAGGUGCGCAGCCCGUUGGCCCGCGAGAGCAUCCUGCUACCCUUUCCGCCUGGUGUCGUCCACCAUUGUUUGAAAGCGUGCUUGCUGCAAGGCCAUGACAAAGCGGCGGCGUCGUUCCGAGUGGUCUGCUUGCAGCACCGUCGCGAGGGCCGCAACCGGCAGGCUCGCGCUGUCGAGUACGACUCCAGAAGGAAGAGCUGGCAGGAUCACCCCUGGGAGACUCUCAAAAGCAACAUUGAGGGGACGCCAAAAGAGGUGAUGCAAGCCGGACACCGGAUAUUUUGCAAAUACAGGGGUCUGGCGUUGGCAGCACUCUUGCUGGACACAAGCAACAUGCAGUUUUCCGUUCUUCCCCUUCCAAAUCACCAAAACUUCGUUAUAGGGGAGAUAGAGGACAAUGUGUGUUGUUUUGUCGAAGCUGUUGGCUGCGUAAACCAUAGACUUAGAGUGUGGCAGCUGGACGAGGAGAAGUUGCACUGGGAUCUCAAGAAGGAUAUCAAAAUGGAUCAGGUGCUUGGUGAGCAUGUUGGGUACUAUAGCCCCCGCGCGAUCAGUAAUGGGAUAGUUCUUGUGUGCUCGAGAACCACGCACCAUCAUUUUGUUGUCGACCUGAAGACCUGCAGCAUGAAGGAGGAGUUCGAGUUCCAUGGCCAGUCUGCUUAUCCUAUGCAAAUGCCAUGGCCACCUGUCUUUUCUGAUCCUACACCUAAUGCUGCAGGAGGAUUUGCCCGGGAUGGAGGGCCAAUGUCUGUGGGUGACGCCAGGACAGGGGUUGGGUUGUCCGACGAUGGUGGGCUUGCCAAGCUGUCUGUGGGCGACGCCGACGCUGGCGCCAAGACAGGGGGGGCUAGGGAGUCGGACGAGAUCGAUGAUCCUAGCCCUGGUCUGUCUGUGGUCGGCUGCGUCGUCACCGACCCUUUGCCGGAGGUGAAGAAGGCGUGGCUCCUGCACUCGUCUUCCAUUGCCUGCUUUGUGCUAGGCAGCUCCACUGCCCCUCCAGCACUAAUGGCUUCGACGACGGCGAGCUCGCCAAACUGUCCACAUCAAGUGGAAGUUACUCUUGUGCAGUCUCAGUUAAAGAGUGCAGAGUGUCAGCCAGUUGGUAGAAAAUAUCAUAUCCUUGAAGAAGAUACAAGGCAUUCUAGAUGGGAGGAAUUCAGGAAGUUUGCUAGCGGAGAUAAUGCUACUGAGGAAUGUUCAAAUCUCUUGAAGAGAAUGGAGUUGGAAGCAUCUGACAAUAAAGAUGAAAUAGAUAUGAAGGAUGAAGCUGGUUUGAUUCACAGUAGCGAGGCUGAAGAACUGGAAGAGAAGGAAGUUGUAGUGGCAAAGAAUCAAAAAACGAAGACUAGUUGGGGCCCUAUUCAGAGAAUCCCAAGACCAAGGAGAGUGCUUGAUGAUGGGAAGACUGAGCUGCAGAGAGCUCAGGAACUGAAGAAAGUUAUAAAUUUGGAGAAAGGUAGGGGCCCUAUUCAGAGAAUCCCAAGACCAAGGAGAGUGCUUGAUGAUGGGAAGACUGUGCUGCAGAGAGCUCAGGAACUGAAGAAAGUUAGAAAUUUGGAGAAAGGGGUCGCAAAUGGAUGGGAGUCACGGAUAUAGUAUUGUUCAAGAUUGCCAAGAUGUUAAGAAGGUGGGUGCCAAUGAUGAAACAAGAGAUGGGGGAAGGUAUAGUGGGGAUGGUUGCCCAGCUGGAGCUAAAAGCAUCAUCACCGCCUCAGCUGAUGUGGCACAGCCUAGGGAGUAGUUUGUCAUCAAGGUUUGGGCCAUUGGAUGUUCAGCCUUUGGCUCCCAGCACUGCAAUUUCAGAUCUGCAUGAAGGAGUUGAUAUCCCUAGACAGGAGCUACUAGCUGUUAUAAACUAUUUGGGUUAUCUGAAUGCUUGCCAUUAGGCAUGUUUAUUUUGUAAGGCGGGUGCGCCUGUAUGCAGGAACUAAAACGCUGUGUUUGCUUUUUGAAAUACAAAAGCAGGGGAAACUCCUUUUCUAAAAAAAAAAUUAUUCACAAGUGGGUGCAGUCUAUAAGAUAACAGUGCAUGCACAACUGUAUGCAGAAAAACAAAAUAUGAAGAAACUUCAGGGCACAAUAAUGACAAAGAGCAGAUUUGCAUAGCACAACAGAAAUGUAGAACAGGACCACUGGGAAAGCAUCACAUGUUAUCAAACAUCUCACAUGCAAAAGGUUGGGAAAACAUCAAAUUUUGAUGCAUUCUAAAAGAACCGCUAUUUUUAAAUAUUUUCCCUUGCUGAAAAGCACACAGUGGGGGGUUUUUUGGAGGACAAGUUACACAGGAAGUUACAAUUAACAGCUAAUAUUCAUAGCUAUUAACAUGUGGUUCAGUAGCAGUAGGUGGUGAGUUUUUGAUGCAGCCUGCCACCCUUAGAUCUUCAGCGGCUUGUAAAAUCCUGCCAAUUUACCACACUAAGUGCAGGGACUUGGUUUGCGACCUGAACUAUGUAAAACUAUCCUGUUUUGCAAUGCAAAUGCGUCUCAAAUGGCGGAUGAGUUAUGUUUGUCUGUUAGGAUAGACAAGCUGCCUUGCUAUUUUGAUUUUCAUACAAAAAUAGUAGGCCUCUGAUGUUUCACUUGACCUGCAGUUGCUAAAACAUUCAUCAAUGUCCUAACAUUACCUGACGAAAUAGAUGGCCAAUAGAACAGUAUGCUCAAGUCGAUCUCAUAUUUUAGCUUAACUGACACCUCUAAUCUCAUCUACUACCUUGCUAUUUUGAUUUUCAUACAAAAAUAGUAGGCCUCUGAUGUUUCACUUGACCUGCAGUUGCUAAAACAUUCAUCAAUGUCCUAACAUUACCUGACGAAAUAGACGGCCAAUAGAACAGUAUGCUCAAGUCAUAUUUUAGCUUAACUGACACCUCUAAUCUCAUCUACUAGAACAGAGACCUUGUACUAAUAAUUCAUUUGCGUGGUUAUUAUCUCAGAUUGUGUUAGCUAUGCAGCAGUGCUGCUAUUACAAGAUGGUGAACAACAAUGCACCAGAUCCUAUUCUCUUUUUUUUUCUUUGUUCCCAUGUUAUACCAAACCUCUCUUUUUUCCCAGCCAUAUUAUGCACGUGCCUACAUGUACAAGGGACCAUACAAGGGACCAAUUGUUAUUAGUUUUUUGUUUAUGUAUUUUCAUGUUCAGAUACAGCAUCUCAUCAUCUGGAAAGAAGUCAUUGAUUAGGCUGGGACAGGGUGCUAGAUGUCACUCUAAAAGUAAUGGUAAUAUUAAUAAAAAAUGGGCUGACCUGUUUAAGGAGUGGGUGAAUAAAUUUGGUUUGGUCGAACUUAAGAAUUCUGCAAGAGUCUUCACUUGGACCAACAAUCAGGAGUUGCCUAUUAUGGCUGCUCUGGACAAGAUUCUGUGUACUACUUUUGAGCAAAAGUUUCCUUUAUCUUUUGUAUCCACUAGAGCUAGAGCAACUGAUCAUGUCCCACUUCUUUUGAAUUUGGGGAUUAAGGAGGUUAAGAAACCUGGGCUCUUUAGAUUUGAGAAAUGGUGGUUAGAACAACCGGAUUUCAAAGAGUUGGUUGCUAAAACUUUGGCUACCCCUUGUGCUUUUACUGAUGUGUUAGAUGUAUGGCAAUUUAAGAUUAGAUUGCUAAGGAAAAAAAUGAAAGGUUGGGCUAUUAGUGUUAAUGCUAGUUUAAAAAAGACUAAGAAAGAGCUCCUUGAGUUCCAAAAACUGGAUUGCCAAUCAGAAAAAAUUGGUUGCUCGUUUUUGUUUAGCAAAUAAGAGACAUGGAGUUACAAAUGCAUCUUCUUCUGCUGUCAUAUGGUCUAUUUGGAAAUUUCGAUACGAAUUGUGUUUUUAGGGGUCGCAAAUGGAUGGGAGUCACGGAUAUAGUAUUGUUCAAGAUUGCCAAGAUGUUAAGAAGGUGGGUGCCAAUGAUGAAACAAGAGAUGGGGGAAGGUAUAGUGGGGAUGGUUGCCCAGCUGGAGCUAAAAGCAUCAUCACCGCCUCAGCUGAUGUGGCACAGCCUAGGGAGUAGUUUGUCAUCAAGGUUUGGGCCAUUGGAUGUUCAGCCUUUGGCUCCCAGCACUGCAAUUUCAGAUCUGCAUGAAGGAGUUGAUAUCCCUGGACAGGAGCUACUAGCUGUUAGAAACUAUUUGGGUUAUCUGAAUGCUUGCCAUUAGGCAUGUUUAUUUUGUAAGGCGGGUGCGCCUGUAUGCAGGAACUAAAACGCUGUGUUUGCUUUUUGAAAUACAAAAGCAGGGGAAACUCCUUUUCUAAAAAAAAAUUAUUCACAAGUGGGUGCCGUGUGAUGUGGGGCCGACAAUACAGCCGCCGACCUCGAGCACGAGGUGCUGUGCAUGGCCUGCAGCAGCUUAAUGAGGACAGGGUGGCUGAAGCUUAAGGCCUCACGAGGACCAAGAAAGAAGAGGAAGAGCUUAGCAGCCAACUAAUUACGGCUGGCAUUAGUAUCAAGGAGACAGACUCCUUUAGCAUUAAGUAGCAGCCGGCUGUAAUUGCCUGGCAGUAGAAUCAAGGAGCCUGGCUCCUAUUUAUGUAAUCGACAAACCAUCGUAUGAGGCAAGCAAGAACCAAGUUAUCCCUAGUCUCAUCUCUGCUGUCUUCAAUCUCACCUUGUGCUGGGCGUCCAGGGGAGAACCCUGGCGCCACCAUUACCCACCUGCAGCUACGAGUUGAGAAGUCAGGGACCUGCCACUCGGGGACCUGAGGUCCUUGACAUGCAGUCUAUAAGAUAACAGUGCAUGCACAACUGUAUGCAGAAAAACAAAAUAUGAAGAAACUUCAGGGCACAAUAAUGACAAAGAGCAGAUUUGCAUAGCACAACAGAAAUGUAGAACAGGACCACUGGGAAAGCAUCACAUGUUAUCAAACAUCUCACAUGCAAAAGGUUGGGAAAACAUCAAAUUUUGAUGCAUUCUAAAAGAACCGCUAUUCUUAAAUAUUUUCCCUUGCUGAAAAGCACACAGUGGGGGGUUUUUUGGAGGACAAGUUACACAGGAAGUUACAAUUAACAGCUAAUAUUCAUAGCUAUUAACAUGUGGUUCAGUAGCAGUAGGUGGUGAGUUUUUGGUGCAGCCUGCCACCCUUAGAUCUUCAGCGGCUUGUAAAAUCCUGCCAAUUUACCACACUAAGUGCAGGGACUUGGUUUGCGACCUGAACUAUGUAAAACUAUCCUGUUUUGCAAUGCAAAUGCGUCUCAAAUGGCGGAUGAGUUAUGUUUGUCUGUUAGGAUAGACAAGCUGCCUUGCUAUUUUGAUUUUCAUACAAAAAUAGUAGGCCUCUGAUGUUUCACUUGACCUGCAGUUGCUAAAACAUUCAUCAAUGUCCUAACAUUACCUGACGAAAUAGAUGGCCAAUAGAACAGUAUGCUCAAGUCGAUCUCAUAUUUUAGCUUAACUGACACCUCUAAUCUCAUCUACUACCUUGCUAUUUUGAUUUUCAUACAAAAAUAGUAGGCCUCUGAUGUUUCACUUGACCUGCAGUUGCUAAAACAUUCAUCAAUGUCCUAACAUUACCUGACGAAAUAGACGGCCAAUAGAACAGUAUGCUCAAGUCAUAUUUUAGCUUAACUGACACCUCUAAUCUCAUCUACUAGAACAGAGACCUUGUACUAAUAAUUCAUUUGCGUGGUUAUUAUCUCAGAUUGUGUUAGCUAUGCAGCAGUGCUGCUAUUACAAGAUGGUGAACAACAAUGCACCAGAUCCUAUUCUCUUUUUUUUUCUUUGUUCCCAUGUUAUACCAAACCUCUCUUUUUUCCCAGCCAUAUUAUGCACGUGCCUACAUGUACAAGGGACCAUACAAGGGACCAAUUGUUAGUUUUUUGUUUAUGUAUUUUCAUGUUCAGAUACAGCAUCUCAUCAUCUGGAAAGAAGUCAUUGAUUAGGCUGGGACAGGGUGCUAGAUGUCACUCUAAAUACUGCGUAAAACAUCCUGAGGUAAACUCGAGCAAUGUU